GAUGAACGCUGGCGGCGUGCCUAAUACAUGCAAGUCGAGCGAACGGACGAGAAGCUUGCUUCUCUGAUGUUAGCGGCGGACGGGUGAGUAACACGUGGAUAACCUACCUAUAAGACUGGGAUAACUUCGGGAAACCGGAGCUAAUACCGGAUAAUAUUUUGAACCGCAUGGUUCAAAAGUGAAAGACGGUCUUGCUGUCACUUAUAGAUGGAUCCGCGCUGCAUUAGCUAGUUGGUAAGGUAACGGCUUACCAAGGCAACGAUGCAUAGCCGACCUGAGAGGGUGAUCGGCCACACGGGAACUGAGAGACGGUCCAGACUCCUACGGGAGGCAGCAGUAGGGAAUCUUACGCAAUGGGCGAAAGCCUGACGGAGCAACGCCGCGUGAGUGAUGAAGGUCUUCGGAUCGUAAAACUCUGUUAUUAGGGAAGAACAUAUGUGUAAGUAACUGUGCACAUCUUGACGGUACCUAAUCAGAAAGCCACGGCUAACUACGUG
Molecule: ribosomal RNA, 497 nt
Filed under: uncultured bacterium
Lineage: Bacteria
Description: partial 16S ribosomal RNA
Rfam family: Bacterial small subunit ribosomal RNA
Source: RNAcentral